AGGAUUAGAUACCCUGGUAGUCCACGCCGUAAACGAUGAGUGCUAAGUGUUAGGGGGUUUCCGCCCCUUAGUGCUGCAGCUAACGCAUUAAGCACUCCGCCUGGGGAGUACGGUCGCAAGACUGAAGCUCAAAGGAAUUGACGGGGGCCCGCACAAGCGGUGGAGCAUGUGGUUUAAUUCGAAGCAACGCGAAGAACCUUACCAGGUCUUGACAUCCUCUGACAAUCCUAGAGAUAGGACGUCCCCUUCGGGGGCAGAGUGACAGGUGGUGCAUGGUUGUCGUCAGCUCGUGUCGUGAGAUGUUGGGUUAAGUCCCGCA
RNAcentral lists this ribosomal RNA (319 nucleotides) under Bacillus velezensis. RNAcentral's name for it is "bacterial SSU rRNA". It matches the Rfam family "Bacterial small subunit ribosomal RNA", at positions 774 to 1091 of the family's 1533-position model. The record is from RNAcentral. Lineage: Bacteria; Bacillati; Bacillota; Bacilli; Caryophanales; Bacillaceae.